CAGCAGCCGCGGUAAUACGUAGGUGGCAAGCGUUGUCCGGAAUUAUUGGGCGUAAAGGGCUCGCAGGCGGUUUCUUAAGUCUGAUGUGAAAGCCCCCGGCUCAACCGGGGAGGGUCAUUGGAAACUGGGAAACUUGAGUGCAGAAGAGGAGAGUGGAAUUCCACGUGUAGCGGUGAAAUGCGUAGAGAUGUGGAGGAACACUAGUGGCGAAGGCGACUCUCUGGUCUGUAACUGACGCUGAGGAGCGAAAGCGUGGGGAGCGAACAGGAUUAGAUACCCCCGUAGUCCCUGUCUCUUAUAC
RNAcentral lists this ribosomal RNA (301 nucleotides) under uncultured bacterium. RNAcentral's name for it is "partial 16S ribosomal RNA". It matches the Rfam family "Bacterial small subunit ribosomal RNA", at positions 509 to 807 of the family's 1533-position model. The record is from RNAcentral.